This 586-nucleotide ribosomal RNA is filed under the name uncultured bacterium. Its description in RNAcentral is "bacterial SSU rRNA". It matches the Rfam family "Bacterial small subunit ribosomal RNA", at positions 338 to 916 of the family's 1533-position model. The record is from RNAcentral.
CCUACGGGAGGCAGCAGUGGGGAAUAUUGGACAAUGGGCGCAAGCCUGAUCCAGCAAUACCGCGUGUGUGAAGAAGGCCUUCGGGUUGUAAAGCACUUUCAAUGGGGAGGAAAACCUGCCGGUCAAUACCCGGUAGCUUGACAUUACCUUUAGAAGAAGCACCGGCUAACUCCGUGCCAGCAGCCGCGGUAAUACGGAGGGUGCGAGCGUUAAUCGGAAUUACUGGGCGUAAAGCGUGCGUAGGCGGUUUUUUAAGUCAGAUGUGAAAGCCCCGGGCUCAACCUGGGAACGGCAUUUGAAACUGGAAGACUAGAGUUGAGUAGAGGAAAGUGGAAUUUCAGGUGUAGCGGUGAAAUGCGUAGAUAUCUGAAGGAACACCAGUGGCGAAGGCGACUUUCUGGACUCAAACUGACGCUGAGGUACGAAAGCGUGGGUAGCAAACAGGAUUAGAUACCCUGGUAGUCCACGCCGUAAACGAUGUCAACUAGCCGUUGGUCCUAUUUACAGGAUUAGUGGCGCAGCUAACGCCUUAAGUUGACCGCCUGGGGAGUACGGCCGCAAGGUUAAAACUCAAAGGAAUUGACGG